AAGGCAGCCCCAGAGGGUGGAGGGAUGCAGGGCGAGUAGAGAAAGGCAUCUUACAUCUCCUCGGUGGCUUGCUCUGGGGCCCGCAUCCUUGUGCCUUCCUUUAGUUUGCU
Molecule: microRNA precursor, 110 nt
Organism: Gallus gallus (chicken)
Lineage: Eukaryota; Metazoa; Chordata; Aves; Galliformes; Phasianidae
Source: Ensembl